GACGAACGCUGGCGGCGUGCUUAACACAUGCAAGUCGAACGGAAAGGCCCUGCUUUUGUGGGGUGCUCGAGUGGCGAACGGGUGAGUAACACGUGAGUAACCUGCCCUUGACUUUGUGAUAACUUCAGGAAACUGGGGCUAAUACCGGAUAGGAGCUCCUGCUGCAUGGUGGGGGUUGGAAAGUUUCGGCGGUUGGGGAUGGACUCGCGGCUUAUCAGCUUGUUUGUGGGGUAGUGGCUUACCAGGGCUUUGACGGGUAGCCGGCCUGGGAGGGUGACCGGCCACAUUGGGACUGCGAUACGGCCCAGACUGCUACGGGAGGCAGCAGUGGGGAAUAUUGCACAAUGGGCGGAAGCCUGAUGCAGAAACGCCGCGUGCGGGAUGCCGGCCUUCGGGUUGUAAACCGCUUUCGCCUGUGCCGAAGCGUGAGUGACGGUAAUGGGUCAAGAGGCACCGGCUAACUACGUG
RNAcentral lists this ribosomal RNA (468 nucleotides) under uncultured bacterium. RNAcentral's name for it is "partial 16S ribosomal RNA". It matches the Rfam family "Bacterial small subunit ribosomal RNA", at positions 28 to 507 of the family's 1533-position model. The record is from RNAcentral.